AGCACGCAAUCGACCCGCGACCUUAUUCUUCUAGUUUUCCAUCUAGAUCUAAAUCUAGUGAUCUAAAUUACAGCGGUUGUACAUCUGAAUCCCGAUGUUACUAUUCUAGAAACUACAGGCCUGAAUUCAUUAAGUCUGGAAGAUUGUUGUACAGAUCAAUACUCUAGAAAGAUAUAAUUUAGAAUGAUCUAUGCAGAAGGACAAUUUAAUCAUGGACAGUCCAAUGGAAUCUCAAGAGUUCACAGAGCAGACUGCAUCUGGAGAAGGGGAAGCAAAUGGCGGUUCAAAAGUUAGGAUCAAAGGAAUCAAAAUUGUCCUGAGAGACAUACAGGCACCUCGGUCAUCAUGGCCGGAAGUACACCUCCAGAGCCUAUGCGAGACCUGUAGGCCGAGAAGAACACGUAGUCAGUCAGCUGCUGAACAUGAUAACAAGUUUAAAAGAGGCGGUGGGAGAAAAUGUUGUGAGGAACUCCUGAAGUCCUGGAAGGCACCCACCAGAAGGCACAGGCUGCCAAGACAUCUCCGCGACUUUGUUGUAGACAGCACCGUUCUACACUUGAUAGAGUUCAGCGAUUGGUAUAAUAGGGGGAGAUUAGCCAGACAGUGGGAUCUGUAUCCAAUACGUAAAGGUGUGCCAACCCGAGAAGGAAGUCCUAUCAAAGGCACAAUGAAAAGAAAAAGAACAUAUAGGAAGGAACAGGAGUUGUAUAGGAAGAAGAAA
Molecule: long non-coding RNA, 721 nt
Organism: Strongylocentrotus purpuratus (purple sea urchin)
Lineage: Eukaryota; Metazoa; Echinodermata; Echinoidea; Camarodonta; Strongylocentrotidae
Exons: 2
Source: RefSeq, a predicted model, not a curated record